UGCUGGAGGUAUCAGAAGUGCGAAUGCUGACAUAAGUAACGAUAAAGCGGGUGAAAAGCCCGCUCGCCGGAAGACCAAGGGUUCCUGUCCAACGUUAAUCGGGGCAGGGUGAGUCGACCCCUAAGGCGAGGCCGAAAGGCGUAGUCGAUGGGAAACAGGUUAAUAUUCCUGUACUUGGUGUUACUGCGAAGGGGGGACGGAGAAGGCUAUGUUAGCCGGGCGACGGUUGUCCCGGUUUAAGCAU
Molecule: ribosomal RNA, 244 nt
Filed under: Klebsiella pneumoniae
Lineage: Bacteria; Pseudomonadati; Pseudomonadota; Gammaproteobacteria; Enterobacterales; Enterobacteriaceae
Description: partial 23S ribosomal RNA
Rfam family: Bacterial large subunit ribosomal RNA
Source: RNAcentral